CAGACUAAAGCACUGUACCAGCAACCAUCGAGUCACAUUAACCUGUAUAUCUUGUGUCUCUUGUCUCCGCCGACCUGAAGGAUCAUUGUUUAUGACUGGCGAAGAGCUCAAGGCUUCAAGUAUGAUGACAAAGUUUUUGUGGAUUUUCAGCAUGGCGGCCAUCCUGGUGCAGUGCGAUGCUUAUGCUGCGAUUAGAGAAGGACCUUGCGAAGAUCCCGUUAGCGGGGAGGUUCACCAAGUGGGGGACACAUUUUACCCAGCAGGGCGUUGUGAGAGUUGGACAUGUGUCAAAGGCAACUUACAACAAAUGAUGGUCGAGAUAUAUGGGUGUGGCUUGGCUUUUAAUUCUGACCCCGGAUGCCGACCAGUUUCGAACCCUCACCUUCGGUAUCCCGACUGCUGCACGCAGUAUGUCUGUGCCUAGUUAACAGCGAGCAGGGCAGAAGACUUGGAGGGAACGACACUGUGAGGUGAAAGGAAGCUGCGUCCCUCCCCGCCCUCCUCCUGAACUACCUUCAGUCUCAGUCUUAUUUUUACGUUGAUCACCGAAAAAAUCGAUCUGUUAACCGGAGAAAAUCACGAUAAAUAAACAGUUUCAAAAUGAAA
Molecule: long non-coding RNA, 606 nt
Organism: Pomacea canaliculata
Lineage: Eukaryota; Metazoa; Mollusca; Gastropoda; Architaenioglossa; Ampullariidae
Exons: 3
Source: RefSeq, a predicted model, not a curated record